CGUUAAAUGUAAUUGACCCGUACCCGAAACCGACACAGGUGGGGAGGUUGAGUAAACUAAGGGGCGCGAGAUAACUCUCUCUAAGGAACUCGGCAAAAUGGCCCCGUAACUUUGGAAGAAGGGGUGCCCAUAGGAAUAUGGGUCGCAGUGAAGAGGUCCAGGCGACUGUUUACCAAAAACACAGGUCUCCGCAAAGUCGUAUAGACGCAGUAUGGGGGCUGACGCCUGCCCAGUGCCGGAAGGUUAAGGAAGUUGGUCAGGGGGCAACCUUAAAGCUGACGACUGAAGCCCCGGUGAACGGCGGCCGUAACUAUAACGGUCCUAAGGUAGCGAAAUUCCUUGUCGGGUAAGUUCCGACCCGCACGAAAGGCGUAACGAUCUGGACGGUGUCUCGGAGAGAGACUCGGCGAAAUAGGAUUGUCUGUGAAGAUACGGACUACCUGCACCUGGACAGAAAGACCCUAUGAAGCUUUACUGUAGCCUGGAAUUGUGUUCGGGCUUCGACUGCGCAGGAUAGGUGGGAAGCGUAGAAGCUGUCCUUGUGGGGAUAGUGGAGCUAACAGUGAGAUACCACUCUGUCGAAGCUAGAAUUCUAACCUGCUACCGUCAUCCGGUAGAGGAACAGUUUCAGGUGGGCAGUUUGACUGGGGCGGUCGCCUCCUAAAUGGUAACGGAGGCGCGCAAUGGUUCUCUCAGCACGGUUGGAAAUCGUGCGUCGAGUGUAAAGGCAGUAAGAGAGCUUGACUGUAACACAUACAAGUGGAACAGGUACGAAAGUAGGCCUUAGUGAUCCGACGGCGCAGAGUGGAAUGGCCGUCGCUCAACGGAUAAAAGUUACUCUAGGAUAACAGGCUGAUCUCCCCCAAGAGUCCACAUCGACGGGGAGGUUUGGCACCCUGAUGUCGGCUCAUCGCAACCUGGGGCGGAAGUACGUCCCAAGGGUUGGGCUGUUCGCCCAUUAAAGCGGUACGUGAGCUGGGUUCAGAACGUCGUGAGACAGUUCGGUCCAUAUCCGGUGCAGGCGUUAGAACAUUGAGAGGAGCCUUCCUUAGUACGAGAGGACCGGGAAGGACGAACCGCUAGUGUACCAGUUAUCGUGCCAACGGUAAACGCUGGGUAGCUAUGUUCGGAGCGGAUAACCGCUGAAAGCAUCUAAGUGGGAAGCCCACCUCAAGAUGAGUGUUCUCACCAGUUUAACUGGGUAAGGUCACAUGUAGAACACAUGUUUAUAGGCUCUAUGUGGAAGUGUAGCAAUAUAUGAAGCAGAGGAGUACUAACAGACCGAGGGCUUGAC
Molecule: ribosomal RNA, 1294 nt
Filed under: metagenome
Description: bacterial LSU rRNA
Rfam family: Bacterial large subunit ribosomal RNA
Source: RNAcentral